ACUCCUACGGGAGGCAGCAGUGGGGAAUAUUGCACAAUGGGGAAACCCUGAUGCAGCCAUGCCGCGUGUGUGAAGAAGGCCUUCGGUUGUAAAGCACUUUCAGUAGGGAGGAAGGUAGUGUAGUUAACACCUGCACUAUUUGACGUUACCUACAGAAGAAGCACCGGCUAACUCCGUGCCAGCAGCCGCGGUAAUACGGAGGGUGCGAGCGUUAAUCGGAAUUACUGGGCGUAAAGCGCAUGCAGGCGGCCUGUUAAGUCAGAUGUGAAAGCCCGGGGCUUAACCUCGGAAUUGCAUUUGAAACUGGCAGGCUAGAGUCUUGUAGAGGGGGUAGAA
Molecule: ribosomal RNA, 336 nt
Filed under: uncultured bacterium
Lineage: Bacteria
Description: bacterial SSU rRNA
Rfam family: Bacterial small subunit ribosomal RNA
Source: RNAcentral